Long non-coding RNA from Daphnia carinata, 963 nucleotides. RefSeq lists it as uncharacterized. NCBI's taxonomy places the organism in Eukaryota, Metazoa, Arthropoda, Branchiopoda, Diplostraca, Daphniidae. The record is from RefSeq and is a predicted model, not a curated record. The transcript is spliced from 4 exons.
GCCAUUCGCAGUUAGUUGAGUAGCGUGGAUGGAGAAUAACGUGUGGCUGGAGAAAAAUAUGUUAAAAUGGAUAAGAUAAUAAAAGAUAAGGAUGCUCUAAUUAUGAACCUGCAGGCUCAAUUAUUGUUCGUAAUCAGUCCAUGCAGCGAUGGAACUGAACAAUUGUGGGACCGUAUUUGGGCCAAAAAUGGGUGUGGUACGGAAACCCAGAAAUAGCACGAGUUCAACAUAAAACAUGAAUUAGAAUUUUAGCAGGGGAUCAAGUCAAGUCUGGAAGUUUUACAAGAUGGAAGAGUCGGUCUACAGUUGAAAAAACACAGAGUGCAUUACCAUUAAGGUAUGAGCUGCUUCUCUUGCUAAAGAACAACUUGUCCUUUACGUUCAGAGUGUUGGUGAAGCUGGAUACUUAAAUGGCCCUAAAGAUGUUUCACUUUGCUGGCAUUGCAGCGAUGAACAUCAUACAUGCACUCUUUAGGAAAUGAUUUUCAGCAUACUGGGAUAACAACUAUCAAGAAUGCAACAUUCUAGGGGGGCUAUUUUAUCAUUCAAGAGCCUUAUACAAUGAUUUUCAUCUGCAAUUUGUAUGGCCUUUCCCAAGCUUCUGCCAGAAGUUGAAUCUAUGAGUCCUGUAAGUCACAUGAGCAACAAUUGAGAUGCUUAAUGGUGUUGUUUUUCUUUUCUCAGUAUAGGUUAAUAGUAACAUUGGAUCUGAAAAGAUUCUUGGUUGGGGCAAGACACUGAAUAAAUUGUAAUGAUUGGAUGGAUGACAUGACAUUUCUAUACUUCAUUCGGAUUCCCGGAUCGGUAUUUUAUAUUUAAAAAAUUGAAGUGCAUAUCUGGGCUCCCUUCCUUUCCGUAGCCCCGUUUCCCCUUGACUCGUAAUAAGCCCGUAGGGGGUCAUGCCCCUACUGUACGGUAUAUAUAAAAAUAACAUAUACCGAGGUUUGGAGGGCUCUGGCCGGA